This 468-nucleotide ribosomal RNA is filed under the name uncultured bacterium. RNAcentral's name for it is "partial 16S ribosomal RNA". It matches the Rfam family "Bacterial small subunit ribosomal RNA", at positions 28 to 507 of the family's 1533-position model. The record is from RNAcentral.
GAUGAACGCUGGCGGCGUGCCUAACACAUGCAAGUCGAACGGAAAGGCCCUGCUCUUGCGGGGUGCACGAGUGGGGAACGGGUGAGUAAAACGCGAGUAACCUGCCCUUGUCAGUGGGAUAACUCCAGGAGACUCGGGCUCAAAUCGGAGAGGAGCUCCUGCUGCACGGUGGGGGUUGGAAAGAUUCGGCGGUGGGGGAUGGUCUCGCGGCUUAUCAGCUUGUUGGGGGGGUAGUGGCUUACCAAGGCUUUGACGGGUAGCCGGCCUGAGAGGGUGACCGGCCACAUUGGGACUGCGGUACGGCCCAGACUCCUACGGGCGGCAGCAGUGGGGAAUAUUGCGCAAUGGGCGGAAGCCUGAUGCAGCGACGCCGCGUGCGGGAUGACGGCCUUCGGGUUAUAAACCGCUUUCGCCUGUGACGAAGCGUGAGUGACGGUAAUGGGUAAAGAAGCACCGGCUAACUACGUG